Molecule: ribosomal RNA, 853 nt
Filed under: Polychaeton citri
Lineage: Eukaryota; Fungi; Ascomycota; Dothideomycetes; Capnodiales; Capnodiaceae
Description: eukaryotic LSU rRNA
Rfam family: Eukaryotic large subunit ribosomal RNA
Source: RNAcentral
GAAACCAACAGGGAUUGCCCUAGUAACGGCGAGUGAAGCGGCAACAGCUCAGAUUUGAAAUCUGGCGUCUUUGGCGUCCGAGUUGUAAUCUGUAGAGGAUGCUUUUGGGUAGCCACCGGUCUAAGUCCCCUGGAACGGGGCGUCACAGAGGGUGAGAAUCCCGUAUGUGACCGGAAGGGCGCCCUCCACAUAGCUCCUUCGACGAGUCGAGUUGUUUGGGAAUGCAGCUCUAAAUGGGAGGUAAAUUCCUUCUAAAGCUAAAUACCGGCCAGAGACCGAUAGCGCACAAGUAGAGUGAUCGAAAGAUGAAAAGCACUUUGGAAAGAGAGUUAAAAAGCACGUGAAAUUGUUGAAAGGGAAGCGCUUGCAACCAGACUUGUUGGCGGUGUUCCGCCGGUCUUCUGACCGGUCUACUCACCGUCUGCAGGCCAGCAUCAUCUGGGGCCGCCGGAUAAAAGCGGGGGGAAUGUGGCUCCCUCGGGAGUGUUAUAGCCCCUCGUGCAAUACGGCGAGCCUCGGGUGAGGUCCGCGCUUCGGCUAGGAUGCUGGCGUAAUGGUCGUAAGCGGCCCGUCUUGAAACACGGACCAAGGAGUCUAACAUCUAUGCGAGUGUUUGGGUGUCAAACCCCUACGCGUAAUGAAAGUGAACGGAGGUGGGAGCCUUAGGGUGCACCAUCGACCGAUCCUGAUGUCUUCGGAUGGAUUUGAGUAAGAGCAUAGCUGUUGGGACCCGAAAGAUGGUGAACUAUGCCUGGAUAGGGUGAAGCCAGAGGAAACUCUGGUGGAGGCUCGCAGCGGUUCUGACGUGCAAAUCGAUCGUCAAAUUUGGGUAUAGGGGCGAAAGACUAAUCGA